This 1380-nucleotide ribosomal RNA is filed under the name uncultured bacterium. RNAcentral's name for it is "partial 16S ribosomal RNA". It matches the Rfam family "Bacterial small subunit ribosomal RNA", at positions 26 to 1393 of the family's 1533-position model. The record is from RNAcentral.
ACGACGAACGCUGUGCGGCGCGCUUACACAUGCAAGUCGAGCGAGAACCAGGCCUUCGGGCCUGGGGAAAGCGGCGAACGGGUGAGUAACACGUGGGUAAUCUGCCCUCGGCACUGGGAUAGCCCGGGGAAACCCGGAUUAAUACCGGAUGGCCUCUCGAGCUCUCGGGCUCGUGAGAAAAGGUAGCUUCGGCCUCCGGCCGAGGAGGAGCCCGCGGCGGAUUAGCUUGUUGGUGAGGUAAAGGCUCACCAAGGCGACGAUCCGUAGCUGGUGUGAGAGCAUGACCAGCCACACUGGGACUGAGACACGGCCCAGACUCCUACGGGAGGCAGCAGUGGGGAAUCUUGCGCAAUGGGCGAAAGCCUGACGCAGCGACGCCGCGUGCGGGAAGAAGGCCUUCGGGUUGUAAACCGCUUUCAGGAGGGACGAAGCCACUCGGGUGAAUAGCCCAGAGGGUGACGGUACCUCCAGAAGAAGCCCCGGCUAACUACGUGCCAGCAGCCGCGGUAAUACGUAGGGGGCUAGCGUUGUCCGGAUUUAUUGGGCGUAAAGCGCGUGUAGGCGGCUUGAUAGGUCUGCUGUGAAAACUCGGGGCUCAACCCCGAGAGGUCGGUGGAAACCCUCUGGCUAGAGUCCGGAAGAGGAGAGUGGAAUUCCCGGUGUAGCGGUGAAAUGCGCAGAUAUCGGGAAGAACACCGGUGGCGAAGGCGGGUCUCUGGGCAGUAACUGACGCUGAGGAGCGAAAGCGUGGGGAGCGAACAGGAUUAGAUACCCUGGUAGUCCACGCCGUAAACGGUGGGUACUAGGUGUGGGUUUCCUUCCUUGGGAUCCGUGCCGUAGCUAACGCAUUAAGUACCCCGCCUGGGGAGUACGGCCGCAAGGCUAAAACUCAAAGGAAUUGACGGGGGCCCGCACAAGCGGCGGAGCAUGUGGAUUAAUUCGAUGCAACGCGAAGAACCUUACCUGGGUUUGACAUGCACAGGACGCCGGUAGAGAUAUCGGUUCCCUUGUGGCCUGUGUGCAGGUGGUGCAUGGCUGUCGUCAGCUCGUGUCGUGAGAUGUUGGGUUAAGUCCCGCAACGAGCGCAACCCUUGUCUCAUGUUGCCAGCGCGUGAUGGCGGGGACUCGUGAGAGACUGCCGGGGUCAACUCGGAGGAAGGUGGGGAUGACGUCAAGUCAUCAUGCCCCUUAUGUCCAGGGCUUCACACAUGCUACAAUGGCCGGUACAAAGGGCUGCGAUGCCGUGAGGUUAAGCGAAUCCUUGGUAAAGCCGGUCUCAGUUCGGAUCGGGGUCUGCAACUCGACCCCGUGAAGUCGGAGUCGCUAGUAAUCGCAGAUCAGCAACGCUGCGGGAUACGUUCCCGGCCAUGCACACACCGC